UGGAGAGUUUGAUCCUGGCUCAGAUUGAACGCUGGCGGCAGGCCUAACACAUGCAAGUCGAGCGGUAGCACAGGAGAGCUUGCUCUCUGGGUGACGAGCGGCGGACGGGUGAGUAAUGUCUGGGAAACUGCCUGAUGGAGGGGGAUAACUACUGGAAACGGUAGCUAAUACCGCAUAACGUCUWCGGACCAAAGUGGGGGACCUUCGGGCCUCAUGCCAUCAGAUGUGCCCAGAUGGGAUUAGCUAGUAGGUGGGGUAAUGGCUCACCUAGGCGACGAUCCCUAGCUGGUCUGAGAGGAUGACCAGCCACACUGGAACUGAGACACGGUCCAGACUCCUACGGGAGGCAGCAGUGGGGAAUAUUGCACAAUGGGCGCAAGCCUGAUGCAGCCAUGCCGCGUGUGUGAAGAAGGCCUUCGGGUUGUAAAGCACUUUCAGCGAGGAGGAAGGGUAGUGUGUUAAUAGCACAUUGCAUUGACGUUACUCGCAGAAGAAGCACCGGCUAACUCCGUGCCAGCAGCCGCGGUA
Molecule: ribosomal RNA, 528 nt
Filed under: Serratia plymuthica
Lineage: Bacteria; Pseudomonadati; Pseudomonadota; Gammaproteobacteria; Enterobacterales; Yersiniaceae
Description: bacterial SSU rRNA
Rfam family: Bacterial small subunit ribosomal RNA
Source: RNAcentral